UGGCGGACGGGUGAAUAAUGUCUGGGAAACUGCCCGAUGGAGGGGGAUAACUACUGGAAACGGUAGCUAAUACCGCAUAACGUCGCAAGACCAAANAGGGGGACCGUUCAGGCCUCUUGCCAUCGGAUGUGCCCAGAUGGGAUUAGCUAGUAGGUGGGGUAACGGCUCACCUAGGCGACGAUCCCUAGCUGGUCUGAGAGGAUGACCAGCCACACUGGAACUGAGACACGGUCCAGACUCCUACGGGAGGCAGCAUG
Molecule: ribosomal RNA, 257 nt
Filed under: uncultured bacterium
Lineage: Bacteria
Description: partial 16S ribosomal RNA
Rfam family: Bacterial small subunit ribosomal RNA
Source: RNAcentral